RNAcentral lists this unclassified non-coding RNA (269 nucleotides) under Hevea brasiliensis (rubber tree). The record is from RNAcentral. Lineage: Eukaryota; Viridiplantae; Streptophyta; Magnoliopsida; Malpighiales; Euphorbiaceae.
AAAGUUGAACAGAAAUCAUUAAUCAAAAUACCAUUUGCUCAAUCUUCAAGUGGUUGUUGAAGUGAUGGUGAGUAAACUACUGUCAUAGGAAAUGAUCAAUUUUGUAGGCUUCUAAUCAAUACUCAAGGUCAAAAGAGAAUUUAUAGGAGAUUGUCUAAGUCACAAAAUGGAGACACAUACAAAAAUUAGAAGAGAGCUAAGUGGAACGCUGAAAAAAUAGUCAUGAAAGCUAGAUUCUUUUCUGAGCUAUAUAGAAUUCUUGGGGCAUG